RNAcentral lists this ribosomal RNA (1398 nucleotides) under uncultured prokaryote. RNAcentral's name for it is "partial 16S ribosomal RNA". It matches the Rfam family "Bacterial small subunit ribosomal RNA". The record is from RNAcentral.
AGAGUUUGAUUAUGGCUCAGAGUGAACGCUGGCGGCGUGCUUAACACAUGCAAGUCGAACGAGAACGGAUUAUAGCUUGCUAUAUGUCAGCUAAGUGGCGCACGGGUGAGUAAUGUAUAUUAGGGAUUUGCCUUUGCGUGGGGGAUAACUAUUGGAAACGAUGGCUAAUACCGCAUAACGUCUUCGGACCAAAGGGGGCUUUCGGGCUCUCGCGCAAAGAGAAACCUAAGCGAGAUUAGCUUGUUGGUGAGGUAAAGGCUCACCAAGGCGACGAUCUCUAGCUGUUCUGAGAGGAAGAUCAGUCACACUGGAACUGAGACACGGUCCAGACACCUACGGGUGGCAGCAGUGGGGAAUAUUGCACAAUGGGGGAAACCCUGAUGCAGCCAUGCCGCGUGUGUGAAGAAGGCCUUCGGGUUGUAAAGCACUUUCAGUUGUGAGGAAAGGGUAGCGGUUAAUACCCGUUAUCUGUGACGUUAGCAACAGAAGAAGGACCGGCUAACUCCGUGCCAGCAGCCGCGGUAAUACGGAGGGUCCGAGCGUUAAUCGGAAUUACUGGGCGUAAAGCGCGCGUAGGUGGUUAGGUAAGUUGGAUGUGAAAGCCCCGGGCUUAACCUGGGAACUGCAUUCGAAACUGCCUAGCUAGAGUACGAUAGAGGGGGGUAGAAUUUCAGGUGUAGCGGUGAAAUGCGUAGAGAUCUGAAGGAAUACCAGUGGCGAAGGCGGCCCCCUGGGUUGAUACUGACACUGAGGUGCGAAAGCGUGGGUAGCAAACAGGAUUAGAUACCCUGGUAGUCCAUGCCGUAAACGAUGUCAACUAGCCGUUGGAAGACUUGAUCUUUUAGUGGCGCAGCUAACGCAAUAAGUUGACCGCCUGGGGAGUACGGCCGCGAGGUUAAAACUCAAAUGAAUUGACGGGGGCCCGCACAAGCGGUGGAGCAUGUGGUUUAAUUCGAAACAACGCGAAGAACCUUACCUACUCUUGACAUCCUCAGAACUUAGCAGAGAUGCUUUGGUGCCUUCGGGAACCGAGUGACAGGUGCUGCAUGGCUGUCGUCAGCUCGUGUUGUGAAAUGUUGGGUUAAGUCCCGUAACGAGCGCAACCCUUAUCCUUAUUUGCCAGCGAGUAAUGUCGGGAACUCUAAGGAGACUGCCGGUGACAAACCGGAGGAAGGCGGGGACGAGGUCAAGUCAUCAUGGCCCUCACGGGAUGGGCUACAAACGUGCUACAAUGGGGGGUACAAAGGGCUGCAAACUCGCGAGAGUAAGCGAAUCCCAAAAAACCCCUCGUAGUCCGGAUCGGAGUCUGCAACUCGACUCCGUGAAGUCGGAAUCGCUAUUAAUCGCGAAUCAGAAUGUCGCGGUGAAUACGUUCCCGGGCCUUGUACACACCGCCCC